GGAACAUCUUCAUUCUUACCUUUCUUCAAGUCGUAUCUGUAGACUUGUUAUAUCUCUUAAGCCUCAAGUCCAAGCAAUUCCAAUCAGGCUGACCUAGGUUCUGGCUGGAGAGAAGCCAAGUCUCAAGGAAGGUCAGCAAUAGAAAAUGAGGUGUGAUGAUGCCAGAGAGCAUGUGUCCCUGACUCUGAGUGGAGGACUGGGGACAAUGGGACAUAAGCUUGUAGAAAAUUCUAUAAUAAACCUUGUGGCUGUCCUAAGCCAUCCGUCAGUGGGGAUCAGGAAGUAGGAGAGGUUAUCCUACAAGAAGAUUUACUCUUCAAAAGAUCUGAAAGUUGUUUUUUUUUUUUAUCUAUAGAGCUUGCUUUUUCUCUACGAUGGGGUGUUAUAGAUAACCACUAUUAGUGAUCACAUAUAACUGUUGAAACACUGGUGGCAGAAAAGCCUGUAGACUGCCUCUCACCUAUCUCCAAUACCUUUAAUGAUUCAAGAGUAGUGUGAUAUUCCAUGUAAUAAAACAGGUUUGGAACAUUAUUUCCUUUGCUGUCCCUUAUGUGAUUUUUUUUUCUGCUUCACAAGUUUGCUUGAAUAUAAUAUACAUUUUAAUAUUCAGACUCUGAAAUAUGUAAUUACAAUCAAGUGCUUGUCAUAGCUGAAAGAUUUCUGGUGGCUUAAAGCUUACUAGCACUUUACUCAAUGAUAUUGUACAGUAACUUGUACAGAAAGGCACCAUUAUGCUAGCUAAAAUUUACAGAACUUGGUAGAAAAGGUCCUUAUGUGUAAUCACUCGGGUUGCAUUCUGCUAUGAUACAGAUGUUGAUUUCAGUUUUCCUCAGCAUCAACAUUAUAAAAGCACUUCUGUAUGUAGCUCAUGAAAAGAAAAAAAAAAAGGUUCUGAAUCUUUUAAUCUUGGCCUUGUUUCCAAAUCCUGUCUUCCACUUUGUUCUGUAACUCCUGACCACUCUUAAACAGCUCACAAAUCUUUAAAGAAACUGGAAUAGGCUGUUAUUUUAUCAAGGUUUACAAAUUAAGUGCUUGAUUUUUAAUGUGUCUAUCCUCUUUUGAUUUUCAGAUUUUAUUAAUAUUUGAAGAUGUGCCUUUUAUUGGGUAAUGUUAAGUCAUGAAUGUAGUAAUGUUAUUUCACUAUUGUAAUAAUAUUACAUGAUCAUGGAUGCAGCAUUCUCAAACACGAUGUGAAGGGAAAGUAGUUUUCAUAAAACUCAGUAGAGCUCUGAUUGCACAGUCCCACUUGCUUUAGACGUUGCUGUUAAAGCAGGGGGCACUUUUUCUUUAAAAGCUACUUUCAGAACUUGUCUUUGUAUUUUCUCUAAACUACAAAUGCAAUUAUGUCCAUUUGGAGGCCAGGGUACC
Molecule: long non-coding RNA, 1368 nt
Filed under: Bos taurus (domestic cattle)
Lineage: Eukaryota; Metazoa; Chordata; Mammalia; Artiodactyla; Bovidae
Description: long non-coding RNA NONBTAT017484
Source: RNAcentral